UUUUUUUCUUUGCCCGUUAUUCUCUAUUCUGUUAAUUCACAUCCACCAUACCCUCUUAUGUGGACUUUCGGUGGUUUAUUUUUUUAGUUCUGUGAUAAGUCAAUAUUUCAUGCAGGUUCAUGAAAUAAUGGUUUUAUGCAUAUCAGCCAAGAUUGUGCGUGGAAUUUUAAUAAACAAUUCAACACCACACGUUAUGUGAAUUUGAUUAAAAUCGAUGAACAUGAAUUUGACAGCUAGUGACCCUUUUACAGGUAAAAUUCAAUUAACAAAUUCUGACCUACUGGCAUUCAACACCAAAUUACCUACUUGCUGUAUAUUGAUAAAUGUGAUUGUAUGUCAAUACCUCAACAUCGUGAAUACGCCAUGUGAGGUGUUGGUUAUGUGUGCUACGGGGUCACUGGUGGCGCCUUCAAAACAGAAAAAAAAAUCCAAGUAAAAAAGUGUGGAAUUUUGUUGUUGAAAAUUUAAGUUGUAAAUUCCUGAAAAAUGUACUUAAUUCCGUUCAACUGCUAACAUGUAAGUUCGAUACGAAAAUAGGAUAAAAAGCAUCCGAAAAAUUUGUGAUCAGUAAUUAUUAUUCGAAUAAAUGAAGAGCAAUG
Molecule: long non-coding RNA, 599 nt
Filed under: Mytilus galloprovincialis (Mediterranean mussel)
Lineage: Eukaryota; Metazoa; Mollusca; Bivalvia; Mytilida; Mytilidae
Source: RNAcentral